RNAcentral lists this long non-coding RNA (6070 nucleotides) under Mus caroli (Ryukyu mouse). Its description in RNAcentral is "lncRNA (MGP_CAROLIEiJ_G0006716.1)". Lineage: Eukaryota; Metazoa; Chordata; Mammalia; Rodentia; Muridae. The record is from RNAcentral.
AAGGUAUGAAAGAAUGGCUUUAAUUUCAAGUUUUUUCUUCUAGUGGCAGUUUUCUCUAUACACAGUGUACAAACACAUAAUUACAUUCUCAGACUUUCAGAAUCCUCUGACACUGGGUUGGAAGCAGAUUUUAGGCCGUGCCUCCUCCCCAUCCCAUUGUUUAGCUUUCCUGCAGUUUAUUCCGGGCGUGAACUCGGUGGUGCUUAGUAAGGGCUGAGCUCCGGCUGAAGUUUCUCCCACACUCCUUGCAGGCAUAGGGUUUCUCUCCAGUGUGAGUUCUCUGAUGAUCGUGCAGAUUUGUCUUCUUCCUAAAGGCCCGCCCACACUCAUUACAUUCAUAGGGCUUCUCUCCUGUGUGAGUCCUUUCGUGCUGAAUGAGGGAUGAGCUUUGACUGAAGGCUUUCCCGCAGUCAAUGCACUCAUAGGGUUUCUCGCCAGUGUGAGUCCUCUCGUGUUGCGUGAGUGACGAGAGUCGGCUGAAGGCUUCCCCACACUCAUUACAUUCAUAGGGCUUCUCUCCAGUGUGAAUUCUAUGAUGCUCUAUAAAACUUGUACUCCUUUUAAAAGCUUUUCCACAUACGUUGCACUGAUAGGGUUUCUCUCGGGGAUGAGACAGGGACGGCUGACCAAGGGCCUGUUCAGAGCCGUAGGAAUUCUCUCCAGCGUGGAGCCUCUGGUGCUCAGAGAAGUCUGUAAUGUGACUGAAGUCUUUCCCACAGUCAUUACAAUGGUACGACUUUACUUCAGGAAGCACGCCUUCACCUUGAGGAAGAGGAGUGCUAGGCACAAACGCCAGGCUGAAGUUGUUACUUUGGUAAGGUUUGCUUCUUUUAUGAAUCCUCAUAUGUUUAUAAAGGGAUGGGCUCUGACCAAAUGCCCUCCCACAAAUGCUGCACUCGAAAGGCUUCUCUCCUGUAUGGGUCCUCUCAUGCUGGACAAGGGAAGAACACCGGCUAAAGGCCUUCCCACAUUCCUUACACUGGAAGGGUUUCUCCCCACUGUGGGUCACCUCAUGCUGCGUAAGGGACGUGCUGUGCCUGAAUGACCUCCCACAGAGAUUACAGCGAUAGGGCUUCUCUCCAGUGUGGAUUCUCUGGUGUUGAACAAGAGAUGAGCUGCGCUGGAAGGCUUUCCCACAGAGACUACACUGAUAGGGCUUCUCUCCUGUAUGUGCGUUUUCAUGCUGACCAAGGGACGAGCUGUGCCUGAAGGCCUUUCCACACACAUUACACUCAAAGGGUUUUUCCCCAGUGUGAAUUCUCUGGUGCUCAGUGAGCUGUGUUCUCCAGAGGAAGGUUUUCCCACAGUCCGUACACACAUGGUGUUUUCUUCCAGACUGAACUCCUUGGUCUGUACCAUUAGAGUAAGCAUCGUCUUUAUGAAUCUUCUCAUGUUUAUUAAGUGAUGAUCUAUGAAUAAAUGAUUUCCUACAUUUAUCACAUUUAUAAGGCUUCUUUUUAGCAAGGAUAUUACUCUGAGUAACUAAUUCUGAAUUGUGUUCCAAAUUAUUUCCAAAUGUUUUACAGUCACUGGGCCUUAAACUUGAAGAAAUGUCCAAUUGUGGAACCAAGUGUGUGCUCAAACUAGAGUCUUCACCAACUUUUUUUUGCUCAAUUUUUUUCUCUAGAGUGGUUAUUUUCUUUUGGGAAGAUGCCUCUGGCCCCAGCUGUCUUCUCCCACUUUCCUGGUGCCCCUGGAUAGUGACAUUCCAGAUAUCACCUAUUGUGGUGUGUGACAAAACAUUUGUUCUGAGGAAUACUUCAGAUACGCCCUGCUGAGGACUCCGUGAGGACUCAGGCCUGGUCUUCCAGUCUAAAAGAAAUAUAAAGUGCAAAAGUUCCCACAUUUCUUGCAGCUCAAACAAAAUGCUAGAGUAGGGAUAAGAAAAUGAGAUAGAAAUCAUGCAUGGCUAUAUUUUUAAAUCAGUCCCUUAGAGAAAGAUGCCUGCAGAAAAGAAAGAGUGAGGUACCAGCGAAUAUUACAAAUCCUGAGUGCCUGUCACAUCCAGAGAGUGAGGAAAGCCCAUGUAAGUGGGCGAGUGUAAUAGGAAACAGAAGCACAGAGGAGCCUAAGUGUGCGAGUACUGAUUUUACAUAACAAAAACCUGCCUGGCUAAUAUAUCCAUUUUAUAAUUCCUUUAAAGCUGAUUUUAUAAUUCCUUUACAGUAACCUAUUACAAAGCAGGCUUCUAAAUGCUGCAGAAAAAAAAAUCUCUGGCUAAGGAUCUUCUGAAAAGAUUCUCUGACAUAUGCGGAGGCCACGCACCAUGCUAAAAACUGAGAAAAAGUCAUGAUUCGGAAAGCAAGUUAUUUUUGGUCUUACAACUAGGAGGAGUUUCAGUUUGUGUGAGCUCUGAUUCCAUAGCAAUCAUCUCUCUUCUGUGUACAUGUGUAUUUUAAUUUUUAAUGUGAUUUGUAAUUUUAAAAUAACAUUUAUUGCCUAACAAGCCUUUAAUCCCAACAUCUGGGACCUGAGAGCAGAGUACACACACACACACACACACACACACACACACACACACAUCCAAGCAUCAUAGCACAUGUGUAGAGGUCUGACAAAAGUUGAAGGAGUAAAUUCUCUCCUUCUACCAUGUGACACUCAGGGACCAACCGCAGGCCGUCAGAUUUGGCAACAAGCAUCUUACCUGCUGAGCCAUCUCACUGGCCUAUUUAGUAUCUGGAACAGGGCUCUCACUGAACCUGAGAGCUCACUGAUUCAGCCACACCGGCCAGCCAAUGAGUUCCAGGAAUCCAUCUGUCUCUCCCUUCCUGCGUCCUACCAGUGCCGGGGUUACAGAUCUCUAGUGUUCAUGGGUGUUGGGGAUCUAAACCAAGAUUCUCAUGUUUGAAAGCAGGCACUUUUCUAACCUAGCUGUCUUCCCAGUCCCCAAACCUCUUUCUUUUUAAAGUGCUCUUAAAAUACCUUUUUUAAAGUUUCAUUUUAUUUCAUGUGUGUUUUAUUUUAUGAGUGUUUUGUCUGCAGGCUUAUAUGUGCACCAUGUGUGCCUGGUACCCAUUGAGGUCAGAAGAGGACAUUGAACCCCCCUAUAGCUGGAAUUACAGAGUUGUGAGCCACCAUGUUGAUGCUGGGAAUUGAACCUGAGUCUUCUGCAAGAGCAAAUCUCUAAUUGCUGAGCCAUCUCCCUAGUCCCCCUUCCCCAUCACCUCACUUUACAAAGAAUUUAUUUCAGUCAAUAGAUAUAUCCCCUAGGUCUGUUUUUUAACCGUAGAAUAAUAAUACUAGAUAACAUUAAUAUUUAGGUUCUAAGAAUAGUAAUUUUUAGGACUUAAGAGUACAGCCUCAGUGUUGAAAGGCGCUUGUUGCUUUUGUAGAAUACCAGAUGUGACUCCCAGCAUCCACAUGGAAUCUCAUGACUAUCUGUGACUUUAGUCCCAGAAAAUCCAGUGCCCUCUUCCGAGCUCUGUGGGUACCGGGUAUGCACACAGUACACAUAUAUACAUGCAGGCAAGACAUUCUUACACACACACACACACACACAUGUAAAAUAAAUAGAUCUAAAAACAAAAAAGAAUGUUUACCUUAACAAACUAAGGGAAACACCAGGCACCCUUGCUUAUACCUAUUACCCUAGUACCUGGGAAACUGAGGCAGAAGAGAUCAUGAGUUUCAGGCCAAUCUGGAUACAUGUAGGGAGAUGCUCUCUCAAAAACAAAAGUGUGGGUCAGAAGGGCUAAUGCACUUGUCAAAGCCAACAGGAUUGAACAUUUUAGUGUAUGCAACAUUUACUUAAAAAAUAAACCCUAUAGGGCUGCCAAUAGAACAAGCUAGUUGAAAGCCUGUCUUAGCACUCCCAGGGUCCUGGCUUUGAUCACUGCUGCCAAAUAAACAGGGUGUGACGGGGCAUCCCACGUUCCCAAAACUCAGGUGGCAGAGGCAGAAGGAUCAGAAGUUCAAAUCAGGGAAGAAAAACCUAAGGCUGGGAAGGUGGCCCAGGGGUCAAGAUUACUUGCUAUCCAACAGAGAGUACAUGAGUUGGAUCUCAUCACUCACUCUCACAAUAAGCAGCGGGAGCCCCACACAAUGCCUGUAAUUUGAGCUCCAAGGGCUGCAAUGGCUUUUUCUUCUAUCCUUCACACACACACACCAAAUAAAACAGAUCUCAUAAACUCAAACAUCAACAAAAAUCAAGCAUGUCCCUCCAAAAACCAAAACCAACCAACCAACCAACCAAACAAACAAAAAUAACCAAAAACCCAAAAAAACCCAAAACUAUAAAAAUAAAUUGGGGGGCUAAAGAGGUGAGAGGUGGCUCAGCAGUUAAGAACACUGGCUGCUCUUCCGGAGGACCGAGGUUUGAUUCUCAGCACAGACUUGGAGGCUCCCAACUGUUAACUCCAAUCCCAGGGGAUCUGUGGUACACACUUAUGUGCAAACAAAACACCCAUAUGCAUGAGAACAAGGAGCAGAGCUUGAGAGGUGGCUCAGUGGUUAAGAGCAUGCACUGCUCUCGAGAAGGACCCAAGUUCAGUUCCCAGCACCCACACUAGGCAGCUAACAACUGACUGUGACACUAACUCCAGAGGAUCUAAUGCCCUCUCUGCCUUUGGUGGCUCCGGAACACAUGAACAUAUACUUCCUACUCUUGCUUAUAUAUACAUGCCCUGAGAUUUAAGGAAUAAUUCAUAGGUUAAUUAAAUAAAAAGCUGAACCCUGGACUCAGGAUAUAGUUUGUUGAUACAGAACUUUUUUUUUUAAGAACUUGGGAAAAGCCCAGGAUUUUAUUUUCAGUAUUUCAAAGGAAAACAAAACAAAACAAAGAACUCUAACUAACGAGACUCACACCUAUGCUUUCAACUUCCUUAAGAACACAUUAAAAAGGUGGUUCUUAUGUGGGUAGAUGAAGAGGCAUGCGGCAAAGCAAGUAUCAGAGUCAAAGUCUGUGAUCACCUAGGUGGCGGCUCUAUGACAACUACUGUACAACUUUCCGGUGUCUUCCAUAUAUUUGAGAUUCUUAUAAUAAAAUGUUGGGAGAGGAAGCAACACUUAAAGAAGUCCAAUACUCAACCUUCUAAGUUUGCAACAAGAAUCAGUCCUAAACUCAUAGUGUCAGCCAUACACAAUAGCACUCACUUGUAAUCUCAGCACUUGAGAGUGUGUGCGUGUGGGGGGAGGGGGGGGUAGUGUGAAGCCAGGCUGGGCCACACAGCCACACACUUUCUCACAACUAAAACAAGAAGCAAAGCUCCUAAGGGCAGAGACUGCUACAUUUUCUUUUCAGACUUCCUCUCAGUGGGGCUUUAAUAAAGAGUUAGUUUUGUUUCUGUUUCCAUUGGUAAAGGCCUCAAACAGACCUCUCCCCGAAGUGUGUACUGUACAGAUUUACUGUGGAGUGUACGUUUACCAAGCACAAUGCACUCAGGCUGGUCAGAAGCCUCAUCAUAAACUAAGCUCGCUCUGUGAGUUAAAAAUGAAAACACGGUCUCUGAAAACUUGGCUUCGUCAAAAUUCGAACAUGCUUCUUUUUCAAAGGUGAAGGCAGUGUUGACUCCUGGGGACUGUGUGCUUGGAACACGGUGUCGGGAGGCUCGGACCAAGGGUCACCUCACACCAGCCCCGCCCUGUGUUUUGUCUUCACUUUCUUUAGAGACCAGCCAGGUCUCACUAUUGUAGCCGAGGCUGGCCUCAAGCUCACAGAGAGCCACCUGCCUCUGCCUUUUGAAUGCUGGCAUUAAGGGGUUAACGUCUCUCUGAUGACAGUAUAAAGCUGGGUGCGGUAGUACAUGCCUGUAAUUCAGCACUUGUCUAUGUUUCCCCCAUAAGACUUAUUUCCAGCAGGAACACCUGACUGGAGAAGAGAGACAGCUCCAGGAAUGGCUUCGGCUUCCUUUUCAGGUCAGACAGCUCCCACACCUCUAGUUAGAAGAAGUCCUCUCCAUAAGCUGUAGCCCUGUCUACACUGAUUUCCAGGAGCAGAAUUCUGAACUCGUUACCUGCACAGAAAGGUCUUUGGGUUUCUUUCUCUGAUAUCCAUGGCUCUUCUCCUUGCUCCAAUUUGAAGAUCACCUCUGGCUUGGAGACUUGAUACCCUGCUCAUCAGUGAGGUUCUCCA